This 4897-nucleotide long non-coding RNA is filed under the name Homo sapiens (human). RNAcentral's name for it is "HSALNT0376619". Lineage: Eukaryota; Metazoa; Chordata; Mammalia; Primates; Hominidae. The record is from RNAcentral.
AAAGUAUAAAAUGUUGAAUGAGAAACCCGAAGACCUUGCAUCGCUGGGCUGAAUAACUUGUUUUCUUUUUUAUGGUGUCCAGACUGAGUUCAUUUUUCUGAGGACCAAUGGUGAUAAGUGUUGGUCUGCCUAUCUUCCCAGAAUAAUCCAAGAUUUGGGGAAAGAAAGAGUAUUUUGCUAAUUUCAGUUUUCUUUCACAUUAAAAAGUUCAACGUAUCUAGAACGGAACAAAACGGAGAAAGCAAAGAAUAAAGCAAAGAAACAUAUAUUGGGGAAAGGAUACUGUAUUCAGUAAAUUGUGCUGGAAAAAGUGGUAAGCCACAUGUAGAAGAAUGAAACUGGAUCCCCAGCUCUCACCUAAUACAAAAAUCGACUCAAGAUGCAUCAAAGACUUAAAUAUAAAACCUGAAACCUUGAAAAUUCUAGAAGAUAACACCAGAAAAACUCUUCUAAAUGUUGGCUUACGCAAAGAAUUCAUGACUAAGACACCAAAAGAAAAUGCAACAAAAACAAAAAUAAAUAAAUGGGACUCAAUUAAACUGAAAAGAUUUUGCACACCAAAUAAAUAAUCAGAAGAAUAAACAGAAAACCCACAGAAUGGAAGAAAAUAUUCACCAACUAUGCAUCUGACAAAGGACUAGUAUCCAGAAUUUACAAGGAACUCAAACAAAUAAAUGAAUUCAAAUAUCCCAUUAAAAAGUGUGCAAAGGACAUGAAUAGACAAUUGUCAAAAGAAGAUAUACAAACAGCCAAUAAACAUAAAAAAAAAUACAGCAUCGCUAGUCACCAGGGAAAUGCAAAUUAAAACCACAGUGAGAUUCCACCUUACUCCCGCAAGAAUGUCCACAAUUAAAAAGUCAGAAAACAAUAGAUGUUGGCAUGGAUUUGGUGAAAAUCACAUCAGUGAAUACAGAUUUGGGAAGAAAUGUGCAUAACUGGUUUCAGCUAGCCAACACGCUGGUCCCAGUAUACCACUGGCUACGGCAUUCUAAAAGUGUCCUCAUAUGUAUCUAUUAAAUAUUCAAGAACUUUGACCAAUAUAUUCUCUGCCAAAUGCUCUCAAGAAAUCUUGGUGGAGAUGGUGUCGGGGUAAGGUGGGGGUUUUUCCGAAAUGGAAUCAUGUUAAUGUGGACUUAAUGUUAAAAUAUGAAUUUUCAAAAAAAUUUGCUUUACUUUCAGUAGGCUAAAUACCUACAUAGUAAAAUUUAAAAAAAUCUGUAAUUCUCUCUUAAUUUAUUCAUUAUACUAUUAUAUGUGGUAGGCAUUUUUUUCCUGGCUCUCAUAUCAUUUGUGUUUGUUUUAUACUAAUGAAAUACAGAAAAACUCUGUAGUAUAUAGAGCCCAAUGGAACUUUUAAGAGUGAGAAUUUUAAUUUGUAUAUUAUGGAAAAGUCAUCUCAGAAAUAUUAGUUUAUAAAUAUGCAGAUACAAUUUCUAGAAUGUCAAAAAAUAAUCCUUUCACCUGAGUUGUCUUAAGUAAAUAACUUUUAGGAUUUUUAAUUGGAUUAUUUAUGUAAUCAUUAUAAAGGAGAUCUGAGGUAAAUUGCUUAAGCAUUUUCUUUAGCUUUUUGCAAGACUAAAAAUGGAGAAUAAAUAUUUGCUCAAAUAUCGAGUCAAACUAAUUUUGAAGAGAAAUCUCUAAAUACUUUAUUAAAUGACCAAAAUAUAAGAAAAUGUUUAAAAAGACUGCAAAUAGAAACACAUCAGUUUAAAGCACACAAAGAGAUAAGUGGAAAAAGUAUUUUCUCAGAACAUGCUAAAAAAAACUUAGAAUAUCCAGGAUACUGCAUUUAUUCAUCCUUACAACAUGAAUUUUAAAUAUCUUAGCGACUGUGCUAUCAUUUUCAGUGUUCUGUAUGAAUUCUUACCUUCUCAGAAGAUUAUGUAGAUAUAACAGAUACUUCUGGAAUAUAUAUCCAUGAUAAGAUUUGUCUUUUUACAGGAGAAAAGAAAAUAUAUCAAGUCCAACAGAACUUAAGAAAAUACAAUUUAAUUAACUUUAUAUGAUAUAGGCCUUGUUAAUAUUAUAUAUCAAAAAAGAAUUCUAGUUUAUAUUCUUUUGUCUGUAAGAUGGGGGAGCUGUUGCAUUAUAAAAAAUACUGGUCAGUUCCAUUCCUCUAAGCAUUUUCUUUUGAUUAAAAUCAUUUGUAGUAAAAAUGAUGACCCAAACCUUUGUAAAUGAUAUUUUAGCUGGGUUAUAAUCUAAUGAAAUUGUGAUUUUAAAAGUGCUUCAAUUACUACAACUAUAAAAUCUUGGUUUACUAGGAAUAUGUAUAAGGUGAAGUAUCCAUUAUUUCUUUAACAUCAGUAUAUAUUGUUUAACAUUCUGCUUUUGGGCUAAGACUUCCUAGGCUUUACAGAAGAGAAGUUGUUUAUCUGAACAGUGUAAAAAUAUGUGUGUGUGUGUGUGUGUGUGUGUGUGUGUAUGUGUAUAAAAAUAUAUGUUCUGUUGUUAUUUAGUUAUGUCUUCCCUGAAAACACUGAUAGAUCCAACAAGUCUCUUGAUUCCUCUUAAAGAUAAGCAAGAAGAAGAAUAAAGUAUGUCACACUUAAACUUGAGUAAAUCCAAGUUGGAAAAACAGAAGCAGAUUUUUUUUUAAUCCUACAGGAUGAAUGUUGAGAGAGACAAAAAUAUUAACACCACAUAAAUUAUAACCUAGAGAAAUUCUAAACCAGGUUGAAAACCUACGCAUAAGCAGUCAAUAAUUAUCUUACACUUAUGCAAUACAAUUUUUUAUUACAGAAAGAACUUUAGUAAUUACCUCAUGCUGUAUAUAUGGGAAAGGAGAUAAGGAAGAAAAACUCUUUAUAGUAUGCAAUUAGUUAUCUCCUGCCUUAUCUUGGUAUUUGUAGAAACACUUGGAAGUAGGAAAAGUGAACAUUUGUAUCCCUGUUCUAUAGUUUAAAAAAUUGACACACAUAAGUUAUUUUUAAUUUAUCCAGUUAAUCACCAGUAAUCAUGAUGCUUUAUGAAUGACAAUUCUUUUAUAUUUAUUCAAAAAUAUGGGGAAAAUAAAUGACAUCUGCCUAUAUAACUUAAAAUUCUUGAAGAAAAUGUGUAUAGGAAUAACUUGGUAUGAAAUGUUAUAGAAAUGUUAGUUCUUUGUCUCUUAUAGUUACAGUAAGUGGCUAAUCAUCAUGUCUACGUUUAUGUAUAAUUUAUUUACAUUUUAAAAUGUUCUAACCUUGAAUACAUAGGGAACAAAUAUCUGAUGAUAGGUGUUUGCAAGGCAGCAUCAGUGAUUUUUCUUGAUAUUUUAUCUGAAAUAUCUGAGUAUCUACUAGGAAUCUAACAUGGAAAGGUAAUUACAUAUGAUGUUGGAAGCAAAUUUGUAUACACCCUAUUUAUGGCCAAGCAAAACAGUGUAAUGUGUCUGAGCAUGUAUGUGUUCCUUUCACCAGUUUUCUUGUGGUAGAAUUUAUAAAACUGCAUAUAUUCACAAUGUACAAUGUGAUGGUUUGACGUAUAUAUACAUUGUGAAAUAAUUACCACAAUCAAGUCAAUGAACACAUUCAUCACCUCAGCGUUUUCUAAAAUUACAUUUAUCAAACUGUAUUUGAAAGUAAAUGUGUUUUCUCAUUGUUAACCACGACUUUAAAACUUUAUUACAGAUUAAUGUUAAGAAAGCUACUGAAAUUAAUUUUAGUAAUAAAACAUCUGAAUAUACACCAUGAAAUGUAUAAAUGUAUGUGCUGAUUUUAGGAGUACAACUAAAUAAGUAAUGCAAACUUACUUGCAGGAUCAUCACUUUAACUCUGUCUCUCUCUCUCUCUCUCUCUUUAUAUAUAUGUCUCUCUCAUAUAUAUGAUAUAUCUUAUACAUCUAACUAUAUAUAUGUAGAGGAAGAAAGAGACACUAUAGAGUAAUACAACCUUUCCAUUAACUGCAUAUAAAGUCAGCCUUAUAAUAAUGCCCCUGGAUUAUCUGACCCUUUAAUAAAAUGUUAUACAUAUUUAGAGACUUGGAUUGUGCCUGUUUUUACUAACAGUUGUUAUUUAAAAUAUUAUUAGUAAGUUAAUUCAUAUAAACCAUGCAGAGAAGCUGUAUAACUGUGCAUAUAAAUAGUGAAGAGAAACUGAUCUGGCAUUCAGGGAUGUUGAGAUUAUUCCAACUCCGCUGCCAAUUGGCUGUGUGUCUUUGGAGAGGUCACAUAAUAUCUCCGAGCUAUAGUUUCCUUAUCAGUAACAUAGACUAGAUGAUUUUUAAAAUUUCACUCAGCACAUAAUUUGAUCUCUAACUUAAAAGAGCUGGAAUAAAAAUCACCACUAAAAAUUAUUAGCGUUACUAUGGUUGUACUUUGUUUUUAUACAUUACAGGCAUUAAAAACUACCUAGAGUUAAUUAGUAUUCGACAAAAUUAUUUCUUACAAAUCUUACGCUAUUCUGUAACGCAUGGGUCUAAUAUGUAUUUAAUGUAGCUUUCGUACAACUGCAAAAACUUCAAAGCAUAUCUGAACUUGUGGGUUUUGUAAGACUUGAACGCUAUAAAUGAAAGUAAUGGAAAUUUUAUUAUAUUCUAUUAUCGAUUGUGUGAUUAGAGUUGUUGAGUGGUAACUCAGUGUCUCAUGUGUGUGAAAGAGAGAGAAAUGAUGACAGUUGUAAAAGCCUAAGAUACACAAGACAGAAUAGUGGUUAGGAUCAUAAGCUUGGAAAUUAGAACCGAUAUUUUACUUCCAGUGUCUGCCACAUCUCAGUGGUAUGACUUUGGGAAAGUAGUUUAAUUUCUCUGAGUUACUUCAUCUGUAGUAUGCAGAUUACAAUAGCCACCGCACAGUGGGUAUAAAGAUGAGUAAGGUUAUAUUUUUGAACACGUAGAAGAGUAUCUGACAUACAAUAAGUGUGUACCGUUAAAGUAUACUUAAACAAAAUUUAAUAUUAAUAAAAGCUAUAUAUAGGUA